Molecule: ribosomal RNA, 854 nt
Filed under: uncultured bacterium
Lineage: Bacteria
Description: bacterial SSU rRNA
Rfam family: Bacterial small subunit ribosomal RNA
Source: RNAcentral
AGAGUUUGAUCCUGGCUCAGGAUGAACUUUGGCGGUGUGCCUAAUACAUGCAAGUCGUACGCGUUGGCCCAACUGAUUUGAAGUGCUUGCACGGAUCUGACGUUGGUUUACCAACGAGUGGCGGACGGGUGAGUAACACGUAGGUAACCUGCCCAGAAGCGGGGGACAACACUUGGAAACAGGUGCUAAUACCGCAUAACAAUUCAAAUCGCAUGAUUUGAAUUUGAAAGAUGGUUUCGGCUAUCACUUCUGGAUGGACCUGCGGCGCAUUAGCUUGUUGGUGGGGUAAUGGCCUACCAAGGCAGUGAUGCGUAGCCGAGUUGAGAGACUGAUCGGCCACAAUGGGACUGAGAUACGGCCCAUACUCCUACGGGAGGCAGCAGUAGGGAAUCUUCCACAAUGGGCGCAAGCCUGAUGGAGCAACACCGCGUGAGUGAAGAAGGUUUUCGGAUCGUAAAGCUCUGUUGUUGAAGAAGAACGUGCAUGAGAGUAACUGUUCAUGCAGUGACGGUAUUCAACCAGAAAGUCACGGCUAACUACGGGCCAGCAGCCGCGGUAAUACGUAGGUGGCAAGCGUUAUCCGGAUUUAUUGGGCGUAAAGAGAGUGCAGGCGGUUUCUUAAGUCUGAUGUGAAAGCCUUCGGCUCAACCGAAGAAGUGCAUCGGAAACUGGGAAACUUGAGUACAGAAGAGGGCAGUGGAACUCCAUGUGUAGCGGUGGAAUGCGUAGAUAUAUGGAAGAACACCAGUGGCGAAGGCGGCUGCCUGGUCUGUAACUGACGCUGAGACUCGAAAGCAUGGGUAGCGAACAGGAUUAGAUACCCUGGUAGUCCAUGCCGUAAACGAUGAGUGCUA